This 962-nucleotide ribosomal RNA is filed under the name Escherichia coli. Its description in RNAcentral is "partial 23S ribosomal RNA". It matches the Rfam family "Bacterial large subunit ribosomal RNA", at positions 677 to 1638 of the family's 2925-position model. Lineage: Bacteria; Pseudomonadati; Pseudomonadota; Gammaproteobacteria; Enterobacterales; Enterobacteriaceae. The record is from RNAcentral.
CCGAGUCUUAACUGGGCGUUAAGUUGCAGGGUAUAGACCCGAAACCCGGUGAUCUAGCCAUGGGCAGGUUGAAGGUUGGGUAACACUAACUGGAGGACCGAACCGACUAAUGUUGAAAAAUUAGCGGAUGACUUGUGGCUGGGGGUGAAAGGCCAAUCAAACCGGGAGAUAGCUGGUUCUCCCCGAAAGCUAUUUAGGUAGCGCCUCGUGAAUUCAUCUCCGGGGGUAGAGCACUGUUUCGGCAAGGGGGUCAUCCCGACUUACCAACCCGAUGCAAACUGCGAAUACCGGAGAAUGUUAUCACGGGAGACACACGGCGGGUGCUAACGUCCGUCGUGAAGAGGGAAACAACCCAGACCGCCAGCUAAGGUCCCAAAGUCAUGGUUAAGUGGGAAACGAUGUGGGAAGGCCCAGACAGCCAGGAUGUUGGCUUAGAAGCAGCCAUCAUUUAAAGAAAGCGUAAUAGCUCACUGGUCGAGUCGGCCUGCGCGGAAGAUGUAACGGGGCUAAACCAUGCACCGAAGCUGCGGCAGCGACGCUUAUGCGUUGUUGGGUAGGGGAGCGUUCUGUAAGCCUGCGAAGGUGUACUGUGAGGUAUGCUGGAGGUAUCAGAAGUGCGAAUGCUGACAUAAGUAACGAUAAAGCGGGUGAAAAGCCCGCUCGCCGGAAGACCAAGGGUUCCUGUCCAACGUUAAUCGGGGCAGGGUGAGUCGACCCCUAAGGCGAGGCCGAAAGGCGUAGUCGAUGGGAAACAGGUUAAUAUUCCUGUACUUGGUGUUACUGCGAAGGGGGGACGGAGAAGGCUAUGUUGGCCGGGCGACGGUUGUCCCGGUUUAAGCGUGUAGGCUGGUUUUCCAGGCAAAUCCGGAAAAUCAAGGCUGAGGCGUGAUGACGAGGCACUACGGUGCUGAAGCGACAAAUGCCCUGCUUCCAGGAAAAGCCUCUAAGCAUCAGGUAACAUC